This 902-nucleotide ribosomal RNA is filed under the name Lichtheimia corymbifera. Its description in RNAcentral is "eukaryotic LSU rRNA". The stretch from base 663 to 902 matches the Rfam family "Eukaryotic large subunit ribosomal RNA", at positions 1 to 237 of the family's 3401-position model. The record is from RNAcentral. Lineage: Eukaryota; Fungi; Mucoromycota; Mucoromycetes; Mucorales; Lichtheimiaceae.
UGGGGGUUGGCCUAACUUAAGGUCUUCUCUUAAGGUUCCUCACAGUUAUGUGCAAUGUUGGGUCACUUUGGUUGACUCUGCCUAAAGCUUUUGACUUGAAAAAAGACUUGAGCAAUGGGCUGGCCUUAGGGGCCCCUAGUAUGUUUAUCAUACUAACCCCAAAGGUUUUUUCUACUAUGUCUAUGAAUUGAUGUAUGAAAAAAAAGUUAUUUGUUAACUUGAAGGCUUCUGUAAAAAGAGUCUUUAAAAACAACUCUUGGCAAUGGAUCUCUUGGUUCUCGCAUCGAUGAAGAGCGUAGCAAAGUGCGAUAAUUAUUGCGACUUGCAUUCAUAGUGAAUCAUCGAGUUCUUGAACGCAUCUUGCGCCUAGUAGUCAAUCUACUAGGCACAGUUGUUUCAGUAUCUGCAUCCACCAAUCAACUUAACCUUUUGUGUUGAGUUGGAACUGGGCUUCUAGUUGAUGGCAUUUAGUUGCUGUCAUGGCCUUAAAUCAAUGUCCUAGGUGUUAGAACAUCUAACACCGGAUGGAAACUUUAGAGCGCUUUAAGAGCAGCUUGGUUAGUGAGUUCAAUAAUUCCAAGCAUUAAGUCUUUUAAUGAACUAGCUUUUCUAUCUAUGGGACACUACUUGGAGAAAUCCAAGUAACCUUUAAACUCACAUUUAGAUCUGAAAUCAACUGAGACCACCCGCUGAACUUAAGCAUAUCAAUAAGCGGAGGAAAAGAAAAUAACCAUGAUUCCCCUAGUAACGGCGAGUGAAGAGGGAAAAGCUCAAAGUUGGAACCUGGCUGUCUUAGAUAGUCCGGAUUGUAAACUAAAGAGCGUGAAUCCAGGCAAGCCGGUUGAUCAAGUCCUUUGGAAUGAGGCGCCACUGAGGGUGAGAGCCCCGUAAAUCGACUGAGC